CUACCAUGCAGUCGAGCGGGACUAAGACUGACACCAGAUAUUCAGGGCAGCUGGUGGGGAAGAAAGAGCCAGUGAAGGUGAAUGGCUGGUGUUGGUUUUAGUUCAGUGGCGGACGGGUGAGUAACGCGUGAGUAACCUGCCUUUCAGAGGGGGAUAGCGUCUGGAAACGGACGGUAAUACCGCAUGACAUUCCGGUGCUGCAUGGUACUGGAAUCAAAGGAGCAAUCCGCUGGAAGAUGGACUCGCGUCCGAUUAGCCAGUUGGUGAGGUAACGGCCCACCAAAGCGACGAUCGGUAGCCGGACUGAGAGGUUGAACGGCCACAUUGGGACUGAGACACGGCCCAGACUCCUACGGGAGGCAGCAGUGGGGGAUAUUGCACAAUGGAGGGAACUCUGAUGCAGCAACGCCGCGUGAAGGAAGACGGUCUUCGGAUUGUAAACUUAUGUCCUCAGGGACGAUAAUGACGGUACCUGAGGAGGAAGCUCCGGCUAACUACGUGCCAGCAGCCGCGGUAAUACGUAGGGAGCGAGCGUUGUCCGGAUUUACUGGGUGUAAAGGGUGCGUAGGCGGCUGUUUAAGUCAGGUGUGAAAACCAUCAGCUCAACUGAUGGAUUGCAUUUGAAACUGAGCAGCUUGAGUGGAGCAGAGGCAGGUGGAAUUCCCGGUGUAGCGGUGAAAUGCGUAGAGAUCGGGAGGAACACCAGUGGCGAAAGCGGCCUGCUGGGCUCUAACUGACGCUG
Molecule: ribosomal RNA, 742 nt
Filed under: uncultured bacterium
Lineage: Bacteria
Description: bacterial SSU rRNA
Rfam family: Bacterial small subunit ribosomal RNA
Source: RNAcentral